RNAcentral lists this ribosomal RNA (253 nucleotides) under uncultured bacterium. RNAcentral describes it as "partial 16S ribosomal RNA". It matches the Rfam family "Archaeal small subunit ribosomal RNA", at positions 474 to 727 of the family's 1478-position model. The record is from RNAcentral.
UACCAGCACCCCGAGUGGUCGGGACGAUUAUUGGGCCUAAAGCAUCCGUAGCCGGUUCUGCAAGUCCCCCGUUAAAUCCAGCUGCUCAACAGAUGGGCCGCGGAGGAUACUACAGAGCUAGGAGGCAGGAGAGGCGAGCGGUACUCAGUGGGUAGGGGUAAAAUCCGUUGAUCCAUUGAAGACCACCAGUGGCGAAGGCGGCUUGCCAGAAUGCGCUCGACGGUGAGGGAUGAAAGCUGGGGGAGCAAACCGG